GACAGAGGGUGCAAACGUUGUUCGGAAUUACUGGGCGUAAAGCGCGUGUAGGCGGCUAAGUAAGUCGGGCGUGAAAUCCCACGGCUCAACCGUGGAAGUGCACUCGAAACUGCAUAGCUAGAGUCCUGGAGAGGAAGGUGGAAUGCUUGGUGUAGAGGUGAAAUUCGUAGAUAUCAAGCGGAACACCGGUGGCGAAGGCGGCCUUCUGGACAGUGACUGACGCUGAGACGCGAAAGCGUGGGGGAGCAAACAGG
RNAcentral lists this ribosomal RNA (254 nucleotides) under uncultured bacterium. RNAcentral describes it as "partial 16S ribosomal RNA". It matches the Rfam family "Bacterial small subunit ribosomal RNA", at positions 524 to 776 of the family's 1533-position model. The record is from RNAcentral.